This 492-nucleotide ribosomal RNA is filed under the name uncultured bacterium. RNAcentral's name for it is "partial 16S ribosomal RNA". It matches the Rfam family "Bacterial small subunit ribosomal RNA", at positions 29 to 507 of the family's 1533-position model. The record is from RNAcentral.
AGUGAACGCUGGCGGUAGGCCUAACACAUGCAAGUCGAACGGCAGCACAGUAAGCGCUUGCUCCUACGGGUGGCGAGUGGCGGACGGGUGAGGCAUACAUCGGAUUCUUCUUUUUCGUGGGGGACAUCGUAGGGCAACUUACGCUACUACCGAAUAUGUCCUACGGGUUAAAGCAGGGGAUCAUCGGACUUUGCGUGACUGAAUGAGCCGAAGUCGGAUUAAGUAGUUGGCGGGGUAAAGGCCCACCAAGGCGACGAUCCGUAGCUGGUCUGAGAGGAUGAUCAGCCACACUGGAACUGAGACACGGUCCAGACUCCUACGGGAGGCAGCAGUAGGGAAUAUUGGGCAAUGGGCGCAAGCCUGAUCCAGCCAUACCGCGUGGGUGAAGAAGGCCUUCGGGUUGUAAAGCCCUUUUAUUAGGAAAGAAAAGCAGCAGGUUAAUACCCGGCUGUUCUGACGGUACCCAAAGAAUAAGCACCGGCUAACUUCGUG